Molecule: RNA transcript, 2054 nt
Organism: Homo sapiens (human)
Lineage: Eukaryota; Metazoa; Chordata; Mammalia; Primates; Hominidae
Gene: DTNBP1
Gene name: dystrobrevin binding protein 1
Exons: 10
Source: RefSeq, marked reviewed
GGGGUUGCGGCGCGGCGGCGAGGACCAGACCGGGGGCGGGGCCGGUAGUGGGAGUGCGGGGCGCGCGGUGACAGCGCGGGGUUGGCGGCGUGGGACCCAGGGGGCGACAGAGGCAGCAGCAGCCCGAGGCCUGAGGAGAGGAGACCGGCGGCGGCGGCAAUGCUGGAGACCCUUCGCGAGCGGCUGCUGAGCGUGCAGCAGGAUUUCACCUCCGGGUCACUUUCAGCUGACAAACCACUGGACUGUCAGUGUGUGCCAUUAGCCUGUCACCUGGUGGAGAAACAACUCAUCUCCAAGUGAUGUCAGUCUCCCAGUAGACCCGGACCUCUAGUGCCUGAUGUUCACUUUCUUCAGGCUGAAGACUUUAAGUGACAAGUCAAGAGAAGCAAAAGUGAAAAGCAAACCCAGGACUGUUCCAUUUUUGCCAAAGUACUCUGCUGGAUUAGAAUUACUUAGCAGGUAUGAGGAUACAUGGGCUGCACUUCACAGAAGAGCCAAAGACUGUGCAAGUGCUGGAGAGCUGGUGGAUAGCGAGGUGGUCAUGCUUUCUGCGCACUGGGAGAAGAAAAAGACAAGCCUCGUGGAGCUGCAAGAGCAGCUCCAGCAGCUCCCAGCUUUAAUCGCAGACUUAGAAUCCAUGACAGCAAAUCUGACUCAUUUAGAGGCGAGUUUUGAGGAGGUAGAGAACAACCUGCUGCAUCUGGAAGACUUAUGUGGGCAGUGUGAAUUAGAAAGAUGCAAACAUAUGCAGUCCCAGCAACUGGAGAAUUACAAGAAAAAUAAGAGGAAGGAACUUGAAACCUUCAAAGCUGAACUAGAUGCAGAGCACGCCCAGAAGGUCCUGGAAAUGGAGCACACCCAGCAAAUGAAGCUGAAGGAGCGGCAGAAGUUUUUUGAGGAAGCCUUCCAGCAGGACAUGGAGCAGUACCUGUCCACUGGCUACCUGCAGAUUGCAGAGCGGCGAGAGCCCAUAGGCAGCAUGUCAUCCAUGGAAGUGAACGUGGACAUGCUGGAGCAGAUGGACCUGAUGGACAUAUCGGACCAGGAGGCCCUGGACGUCUUCCUGAACUCUGGAGGAGAAGAGAACACUGUGCUGUCCCCCGCCUUAGGUAGGGUUGACAAACUUGCAUUAGCUGAACCAGGGCAGUAUCGAUGCCACUCCCCUCCAAAGGUGAGACGUGAGAACCAUCUGCCAGUCACUUACGCAUAAACCCCCAAGCUCACAGCCAGCUCCUGGCUCCCUAACCCCACGGUUCCACACGGCUGUGUGGCAGCUGCAACAGUGGUGUGGUUCCGUCAUGAAUUCUUCUCAAAGAUUUGACAUGCUCCACUCCGGUAACUUUGGUGAGUUGAGAGCUUUCUUGUUUGUUUUCCCUCCUUUACCACCCAGAAAUCCAUUUGAGUCUGCUCCUUGUGGUUAAGGACUGGCGUUUGCAGGGAGGUGCGGACUCUCCUGCGGGGCUCACGGGAAACUCUUCCCUCUUCGUGCGACAGGCAUUUAGGGGCGUGCCUGCCAUGGGCAAAGCCAUGGUGUGUGUUCAGCUCUUGGCCUGUGUUGUAAACUUAGUUGCACUUCAGUUCCUUUCAUCCCUUCACAAAAUUUUGUUUCACAUUCAUGCAGCAAAUAUGGGCUGAGGUGCCAGACCUGUACCUGGGCUUGGUGCGUUUCAAAUUUCAGACCAGUUCUUUGGGCUGGGUCAAGGCAAAGCUCAGUCGUCCCAGCAGCACCUCAGCCAUCUGUAGAAGGUUCUACCAUUACCACGGUUUCAGCUUCCUCUAAACUUCUCACCCGCUUCUCCUGGCAAUCUGUCAGAACGGUGUCAUCCUGGGGAAGAGAAGGAGCUUGGGUGCAUUUGCCCUCAUCCUGAGAAGGCCAGAAUACUGGAGACCAGCGUGAACCCUCACCCAGAGUCAGGGGAAGAUUUAGAAACAGUGACACCUGCAUAUAGAAUUUUGAUUCCUUGAAGAGCCUAUUUAGUUCCAUAAAAUUGGAGAACUGCUGAAGGUCAGUAAUUCCGACUUUCUCAGCAGUGGUGUCUCUGAAUUACUGCAAA